UGGGGAAUAUUGGACAAUGGGGGAAACCCUGAUCCAGCCAUGCCGCGUGUGUGAUGAAGGCCUUCGGGUUGUAAAGCACUUUCGCACGUGACGAUGAUGACGGUAACGUGAGAAGAAGCCCCGGCUAACUUCGUGCCAGCAGCCGCGGUAAUACGAAGGGGGCAAGCGUUGUUCGGAAUUACUGGGCGUAAAGGGCGCGUAGGCGGUGCUCUAAGUCAGGCGUGAAAGCCCUGGGCUCAACCCGGGAAUUGCGCUUGAUACUGGAGCGCUUGAAUCCAGGAGAGGUUGGUGGAAUUCCCAGUGUAGAGGUGAAAUUCGUAGAGAUUGGGAAGAACACCGGUGGCGAAGGCGGCCAACUGGACUGGUAUUGACGCUGAGGCGCGAAAGCGUGGGGAGCAAACA
This 402-nucleotide ribosomal RNA is filed under the name uncultured Inquilinus sp. RNAcentral describes it as "bacterial SSU rRNA". It matches the Rfam family "Bacterial small subunit ribosomal RNA", at positions 355 to 774 of the family's 1533-position model. The record is from RNAcentral. Lineage: Bacteria; Pseudomonadati; Pseudomonadota; Alphaproteobacteria; Rhodospirillales; Rhodospirillaceae.